CUCCCACCCGUUAAGGUGUGUACAUUGACUUCCGGUAAAGACGGCAAGUUUUACAGGGAUAUGAAUACCAGUUUGGUUCAUAAUCAGAAUCAUAAGAUUCUGAAUUGACCUCAUCUUCAUCCUCCUCUGUGAUCAAAUUGAGCCUCCAGGAGUGUCAGCUGUUUACUCCUGCUGCUCAUUUUGUAAAACAGGCGAUCGCCGUGGGUGAACAGCAUGAUGGUGUAGUCCCACACUCUUGGGCCAAACUUUGCUUCGAUCAGCGUGUGGGUGUCUUGGUCUUCCUGAGUCAGCCUUCCUAAAGGAACAACAUAUGCAAAGAUGUGGAGUUUCAGAAGAAUCUGAAAAAAUUCUCUCGGAUGAUGUCCUCCUUGUUGCUUCCCUUCUUGAAAAGCCCAGGUGUGUCAAUCACAUCGACAGGUAUAUCUCCAACCACCCGGGACUCUUUUUCACAGUGAACAGUGUGUGAACAGCUUCAUCUCUGAAGAGAUGAACACCGUUUUAUUGAGGAUGGUGUUCCCACUCGAGCUCUUGCCUGCACCACAUUUUCCAAGAAGCAUGAUCCUCAACGACUCUGUCAACCCAACAGAACAAGCAUUUUGAGAGUUCAUGAAAGCUGUUGUUCCCUUCAUUCUGACUUCUGAUAUUAGCCGUGUUUAAUUCUUAGAACUUCAUGGCUUUCACAUAUUAGCCCAGACUGUUACAUUUGAGGGCACAAACCAACUUUUUUAUUAUGUUGUUACAUUGUGGUAAAUACAUAGCAUUUUGGCAUUUGUUGAUGAAUAUAAUAAAAAGUAAAGAUUAAUAUGUUGUAUGUGGUGUUAUGAUACAAUAUGUGGUUUGUUUUGUUUUUAUAUGCCUGUUGAAAUAUUUUUCAUAUCUUACUUUUUCAGAAAAUUAAAUUUUGUAUUAUUAACCAAAUUGAUCCAGGCAUAUAUGAUUCUGUUACUGCAGAAAUUGCUAUUACUAAAUUUAACCACUAAUUUCAACAAGUGUGUGGCAUAAUUCCGGCUACAAUUUAUUAAAAUUAUUUGGUUUGUUGGCAAAGAACUGGGUUUUAAGCACAGUCUUGUUGUUGGCGACCGAAGGUCUCUGAUUGAGGUGCAACUUGCUCAGAGUCAUUUAAACAAAUAUCACUGGGAGUGUGUGUAUAUAUUUCAGUCUCUAUGUAUACUGUUCACCCUGUGUGGAUUUGCGAAAAUCCUAAAGAAAUUCAAACUUGUACAGCUAAUUCUUUGUUUGUUUGUUUGUUUUGAAGUUAUUAAAGAUAUACAAUCAUUCCACCCUGGGAAAUGAAGAGUCCAAAGAAAUCACUGAAAGCCCAAAAUUAUCAUGACAUUCAGUGGACAUAAACUUGACCACAGCUAUAUCUGUGGUCAUACUAAUCGAUCCAAAAAACUAAAUUACUUCGCUGGGUAACUUGUUAAAUAACUAAGCUACUAACUUAAGCUUCGUAACUUUGUAACUACCUAAACUAUUCAUAUUUGCAAAGUUUAAUCACACAUUUAUAAUACUGAUGUACAGAGUCUCUUAGUUUUUUGG
Oreochromis niloticus (Nile tilapia) is the source of this 1539-nucleotide long non-coding RNA. RefSeq lists it as uncharacterized. The record is from RefSeq and is a predicted model, not a curated record. The transcript is spliced from 3 exons. Lineage: Eukaryota; Metazoa; Chordata; Actinopteri; Cichliformes; Cichlidae.